Molecule: ribosomal RNA, 265 nt
Filed under: uncultured archaeon
Lineage: Archaea
Description: partial 16S ribosomal RNA
Rfam family: Archaeal small subunit ribosomal RNA
Source: RNAcentral
CACGCCGUAAACUAAUGCGCGUUAGGUGUAUCGGUGACCACGAGUUACCGAGGUGCCGAAGGGAAACCGUGAAACGUAGCCGCCUGGGAAGUACGGUCGCAAGGCUGAAACUUAAAGGAAUUGGCGGGGGAGGCACAACAACGGGUGGAGCCUGCGGUUUAAUUGGACUCAACGCCGGACAACUCACCGGGGACGACAGCAAUAUGUAGGCCAGGCUGAAGACCUUGCCUGAAUCGCUGAGAGGAGGUGCAUGGCGUAGACGUCU